RNAcentral lists this transfer RNA (69 nucleotides) under Oedipina nica (Nicaraguan worm lizard). Its description in RNAcentral is "tRNA-Asp". It matches the Rfam family "tRNA". Rfam says of the family: Transfer RNA (tRNA) molecules are approximately 80 nucleotides in length. Their secondary structure includes four short double-helical elements and three loops (D, anti-codon, and T loops). Lineage: Eukaryota; Metazoa; Chordata; Amphibia; Caudata; Plethodontidae. The record is from RNAcentral.
AAGAUGUUAGUAAAAUAUUACAAAGCCUUGUCGUGGCUAAAUUGUCGGUUUAAACCCAACACAUCUUAC